This 1962-nucleotide long non-coding RNA is filed under the name Marmota monax (woodchuck). The record is from RNAcentral. Lineage: Eukaryota; Metazoa; Chordata; Mammalia; Rodentia; Sciuridae.
GCCAGAGGCAAGAGUCAUUCCCCUCCGGCAUUCACUUCUCUAAUUCUGUGGGGGCCCACCUUCUUGCAGCUUCCUCCAGGGUGGUUGGAAAGGUCUCUUCUUCUACUGAUAGGCUCUCUCUGAACAUCCCAAGAGCUUAUGUGUCUGUGAUGCAUAAGGAACAGGAAAUAAUUUUAUUUUUCUAUAUUAAAUACGAUAAGAGUUCCCUCUCCUCAAUAACAUUGGCUAACAAUUCUAUAUCAUGAACUUUUUUUUUUUUUUUUACAGAUCCCACACCCUUCCUUUGGUUGUACCAGACCUAGUACUCACACAGUCCUAGGAAGACAGCAGCACUGAGCCUUGACCCAUGACAGUCGAUCCAUGGUCCUGUUAAAGGUGGCUCUAUGCUCUCAGUGUCAGGAUUUGUCAGAACAUCCACCCAAUCUUCCAAGAUCUAGUGCCUAAUGCCCACAUCACCACUGUUAGCCCACAGAGAUGAGACCCAAGGUUACUGCUGCUGUAAGAAAACCACAAGGUAUCACAUUUCCCAAUCUUCUGGGACCCAACUCACACCAGGAUUGUCACAUCAUCCAGCUUCAUCAAGUCUAGACUGUGUUUAGAUCAACACUCAAAUCUUAAAUAGACCAAGCAGGUAACACAAAUGGGCUAAAUAAGUGCCUAUGUGUAAUACAAGAGGGAGUGGUGGGGGACAUGGCAAAUUGAAGAGUCACAAACCAUUUUGGAACAUAGACCUAGUGUGACCUAGUGUGCUAGAGAGUUGACUCAAUGGCUGGCACUCCAUAGGUAGCUUCAGUAUGGGACUGGUCAUAGGAAAGACCAGGGCAGGAUUAUAGGGUUGGAUCUUUCAACCACACCAUUCACCUUCUAAAUCGAUCGCCAAUGGCCUUGUAAAAACAUAGACCUAGUGUGGCCUGAUUUCAUUUUAUUUUUUAAAUAAGACAAAUCUGGAUUUUUAUGUGGAGUUUCUUGAUUUUAAAAUAUAAAAUUUUAAAAAAUGGUUUUAAAAUAUGUUAAGGACUCUUAUUAAUUUUGUUGGGUGUGAUAACAAUGUGGUAGUUUUGUUUUAAAAAUACAUGAUGAAGUCUUAACAGAUGAAAUAAAAAUUUUUUUUAAGAUUCUCUAAGAAAAAAAAAACAUGUGAAGGAACCCUAAUGUGAUAGUUUUACAUUAUGGCCAUAAAUUAUUUGAUAUUCCUUCCCUCAAGAGGUAGCAUCUAAUUCCCUAUUCUUCCAGAGUGAACUGGGACUUGGUGAUUUGUUCCUAAGGAACAGAAUAAGGCAGAAGGGAGAGUAAGGGACUUAGGAGGCAAGGUCACAACAGGUAUUGAGGCUUGCUCUUCUUUCCCUUUUGGAUUGCUUUCUCUGGGGGAAAUUAGCUGCUGUGUGGUAAGGAUACUCAAAUGACUUUGGGGGAGGGCCCACAUAGAAGUCAGGGGCCCUCCUUCUAAUAGCUCUCUGAGUGUACAUGCUAGAUAACAGGUCAUCUAGCCCAACUGAGUUCUCGGUAUAGACCCUGCCACAUUCUGACACAACCUCAGGAAUGACGCUGAGCCACAUCCCCCAGAUAAGCUGUUCCUCAAUUCCUGAACCACAGAAAUAAUGAGAUUAAUAUUUGUUUAUCUUAAUCCAUUUUCUGUUGCUAUCACAUAAUACUUGAGACUGAGGCGUUCAUAAGGAAAAGAAGCCUUUUUAUCUCACAGUUCUGGAGGCUAGACGUCCAAGACUGGGCCACUACCCUGGUGCACCCUCAUGCUACAUCAUAACAUGAUGGAAAAGGGAAGGACGAGUGGAUGGAAAGUUGUUAUUUUUUUAAGGAAAAAAAAAUGAAUAGUACCCUUUCACCAAAACAUAAUUUUUCCUGGAAACUAAUACAGAUGAUAGAAUAUGAAAGAUGUGAAACUCAGACUUUCUGGUUCACUGCUAUAUUCUCAGGUCUGCAAGUCUCUGGUGGGUGAGGAUUGCC